GGGGCUAUAGCUCAGCUGGGAGAGCGUCGCAAUGGCAUUGCGAAGGUCUGGGGUUCGAAUCCCCAUAGCUCCACCA
Molecule: transfer RNA, 76 nt
Filed under: Planctomycetota bacterium
Lineage: Bacteria; Pseudomonadati; Planctomycetota
Description: Planctomycetes bacterium tRNA-Ala
Rfam family: tRNA
About the family: Transfer RNA (tRNA) molecules are approximately 80 nucleotides in length.
Source: RNAcentral